Heterocephalus glaber (naked mole-rat) is the source of this 782-nucleotide non-coding RNA. Lineage: Eukaryota; Metazoa; Chordata; Mammalia; Rodentia; Bathyergidae. The record is from RefSeq and is a predicted model, not a curated record.
UGGGAGUUGUAGUUUAGCUUCCUCAGGACUCGAACUGUAUUUCCGCCCUUCCUCUCUCCUCCUACCAGUUUUACAACAGCCUUUAUUUUUAAACGCUGUGUCUCCCAAGCGGAAGUUUUCAAGAAUUUUAUUGGAUUUUCUUCACGUACAAAGCCCUGUAUCUGUGGAGCUGCUGUGAGAGGAAGGGCUAAAUGGAGGGCCCUGAAAAUGCCCCACCACCAUUCUAGUGAGUGGUGUUUUUGUGGUAGGUGAUGACAUUGAAUGGACAGUUACAGCAACUAUCACCUGAGAAGAGCAAAGCAAACCUAGAGAAAGAAGGUCUGGGUCACUACAGCAGUGUAUCUAUGGAAAAUCCAGAAGGUUUGACCUUCCAGAGUCAACAGUGUGGAUUUUGCUGACUCCCUACUUAUGAAAGAAAUCUUGUCAUUUAUGGCAACAUGGACGAACUUGGGAGACAUUUAUGUUAAGUGAAAUAAAGCAGGCACGUGAAGCAAAUACUGCAUGAGCUCAUUUACACGUGGAAUCCAAAAGUGUUGAAUUCAUUGAAGCAAAGACUAGAAUGGCAGUUACUAGAGUCUGUGUGAUUUCCUGGGGAGUACAGCACCGAGGUAAUCACCACCGAGGAAAGCGAAAGCAAAAGACGGAGUCAUGGGUUUCAGCCAUAGUCUCGGUUUCACUGGAGCUGUGUCAAGCAGCGAGAUUGUGACCGUGGCCUGUGCCAGCAAGAGAGCCGGAAAGCAGAGGAAAACACUGAACUGCAUUGCUCUAAUAAAACUGUUUUG